GACGAACGCUGGCGGCGUGCUUAACACAUGCAAGUCGAACGGAAAGGCCCUGCUUUUGUGGGGUGCUCGAGUGGCGAACGGGUGAGUAACACGUGAGUAACCUGCACUUGACUUUGGGAUAACUUCAGGAAACUGGGGCUAAUACCGGAUAGGAGCUCCUGCUGCAUGGUGGGGGUUGGAAAGUUUCGGCGGUUGGGGAUGGACUCGCGGCUUAUCAGCUUGUUGGUGGGGUAGUGGCUUACCAAGGCUUUGACGGGUAGCCGGCCUGAGAGGGUGACCGGCCACAUUGGGACUGAGAUACGGCCCAGACUCCUACGGGAGGCAGCAGUGGGGAAUAUUGCACAAUGGGCGGAAGCCUGAUGCAGCAACGCCGCGUGCGGGAUGACGGCCUUCGGGUUGUAAACCGCUUUCGCCUGUGACGAAGCGUGAGUGACGGUAAUGGGUAAAGAAGCACCGGCUAACUACGU
This 467-nucleotide ribosomal RNA is filed under the name uncultured bacterium. RNAcentral describes it as "partial 16S ribosomal RNA". It matches the Rfam family "Bacterial small subunit ribosomal RNA", at positions 28 to 506 of the family's 1533-position model. The record is from RNAcentral.